Molecule: long non-coding RNA, 168 nt
Filed under: Dermacentor andersoni
Lineage: Eukaryota; Metazoa; Arthropoda; Arachnida; Ixodida; Ixodidae
Description: uncharacterized LOC126539520
Source: RNAcentral
CCGGCUAGCCCUACGUCGGGACCGGCAGGUCUAGCCCACUGGCCCGGUGGCGGGCACCCCGGACAGCCAGGAUUUGGUUGUCCAGAGCGGGGCUACGCAGAAGCGAGUGCCACUCCUCCUUGAUGAACUUGGGGUCACACCACCAAUGAAUGCUGAGUGAAGAAAUAA